This is a non-coding RNA of Acanthosepion pharaonis, 115 nucleotides long. NCBI's taxonomy places the organism in Eukaryota, Metazoa, Mollusca, Cephalopoda, Sepiida, Sepiidae. The record is from the annotation of a GenBank genome assembly.
UUACGGUCAAAUCACGCUAAAGUCAUCGGUUCCCGUUUAAUCACCAAAAUUACGUAGUGUUGAGCCAGGUUAGUACUUAGAUGGGGGACCGCUUGGGAACACCGAGUACUGUAAG